This is a non-coding RNA of Schizosaccharomyces pombe (fission yeast), 2659 nucleotides long. The record is from the annotation of a GenBank genome assembly. Lineage: Eukaryota; Fungi; Ascomycota; Schizosaccharomycetes; Schizosaccharomycetales; Schizosaccharomycetaceae.
CAAAGUUGAACUGACUAGGAAUUGUAUCAAAGUCGUACUCUAAACCAGAUUCGUUGAAUAUAAUAGUAACAAAGUCAUUUCCAAUAUGACGCUUCUUUAAUGUGCACCCAGGGUCAUGUUCUAUAUUAGUUGGCAUCAUUGUAGUGCAAUGGAACACCAUUUGGGUAACUUUAUCUUUCCAACAAUACGCAAACGCACCGUCUAUAUCAUUUUCCCUAUCUAAACCACCAGCGAAAACUUUUUGAUCUGUUUUUAAUUCGAAUAAUGUGCCCAGACCGUUAAGAAAAGUAAGGAAAUCUUCAGAAGGAUUUGUAUUUGCCAAUAUGUCUGCUUCUCGACGCUGUUGGUACCCAACGUACACAAGACCAGCCUUCAGUGAUUCAAUUACAGGAAUACGGUCAAAAACACUUAUAGCCCUACGCACAGAAUCAUCAUUAGAGGGAAGCAGAAGAGGCUGAUUGUAUAAAGAAAUACCAUGUGGAUCCAAGAAAUGAGAGACAAAGCUGCUAGGAGUACACAAAAGCCCCCUCGUAAGAGCCUUUGAACUUGUGAGAUUUUCCUCCCAUAAAAACUUUUGCAGACUUGCUUCAUUUCGAAAAGUAUACUGCGUAGUACCUGUCGGGCGACGAAUGACAGCUUCUAAGAAUCCAGAGUUUACCGACACGUUUAUCGUAAAGAGUGAAUUACCACGAAUCCAAGUUUCACUUUCCACGUCUGAGUCAACAAAAGUAGAUGUUUGGUUAUUGAUGUCGGAAUUAGAAUAGCAAAAUUGUUGCAUCAUGUCAUAUUGAACAAGACAUAAAUCUUCCAAUGGUUUACCUUCAGAAGCAAGCUUCAGUCCACGCAAUAUCCAAGGUACGAAUUUUUUACGCUCAGUUAAUCUUAACGAAAGAAACCAUAUUUGUAACACGCUAUAGGCUAGAGCUAGAACGUAUGAUGAGUAAGAGUUUUUUAAUAUGCUCUCCGUAUCAUUUGAAUCUUUCGACUCCUUAGUGAAAUCUCUGUGCUGAAUGUAUUUCAAAGCAAUUGCAAAAAUUUGUCUAUAGUCAGCAUCCGUAAAGUUUGCAAUAAGAUCAGGUAAUCUUGCUAAACUGCAUAAAAAUUCUAAAAUGUGAACGCUCAAAUCAGGUUUGGUGAUUAACCUUGACAAAGUGACUAAAAUUGCAGGUAACUGCUUUCGAAUUGAAACGGGUAAUUCAUAACAGCAUAACAUAAGUGAAUGAAUAGAAACAUGACAUGCUUCGUUCCAUUUUUGCAACCCUGCAAAAAAAACGCUGACUAAUUCAUCUUCCUGAGCCCUGCUGAAUUGAUCAUGAUAAACAAAAAGCAUUUGUACGUUUUGCAAGAUUGGUAUCAUGAUGUUGGCCUUACGAAUAUUAGAAGGAAUUUCAGCAGAUAUAGAAACUCUUUCAAAAACGAUAUCACACAUAAAAUCAAGUAAAUUAUAGAUUUCUUCUAAUGCGCCGAUAAACAUACUCCUAUUACUUAUUUGAUCAGCAAGGUGGGUAAUCAUGAACAUAAGGAUAGUCCAGUUAGACUCUGUAGCCAUGGAUUUUCGAUAAAACCUUAACAAGGAAGACGUUGGGAACGUUACAAAGUCCUUGCCAUAUUCUGUAGAAUGAUUUGAAAUUUUAAUCAAAUCGUUUUCUUUUCGUUCCCAAAUAUGCUUUUCUACUGUUGCUGAGUUAACAAAAGAAUCAGAAAUGGGAUAAACUGCAGGAAUCAGUUCUGAAUCAACGUUUAAGACUUUGAAGGGUUCAUUCAAAUCUAUAUUCUCACAUAUAUAAAUAGACGUCCCAUUUGCUCGAAAUCGAAGAAAGAAUUGUAAACACAACAUUCGAGAAACAAAAGGGAAAGAUGGAGUCUCCAAGAUUUCUAACAUUUUAGCCAGUGUUUCUUGAAUAGGCACAGCAUCCCUUAAGUCAUAAUAAUAAUAAAAAAGACGAAUUAAUGUACUCGUGGCAAGUCUGCGAACAGUAACAGAGCUCGUGUCGGAAAUUAGCUGUUGAAAAAUAUGAUCGAUACAAUCCUUAAGUCCCGGGUUUUGAAAAUUGACAGACAAGAAAAACAACAUAUUAUAUACAGGAGAAACAACACAAUCAUCAGAUUCCUUAGAAAAGCUUUCAAUUACUGGAAAAAGGAAUUUCGAACACAAAAUGGGGGCCGAAUUUUCAUCAGCAACAGAGCAAGCAUCUUCCACAAGCUUAAAUAAAAGAGCUCGAUCUUCAAGAUCAAAUGUUUUGCAUUGGUAAAUACCAAGUAAAAAUUCAAGGUUGAAUACCCAAUAUUGAUUGCAAGGAAAUAUAAGAUUGUAAGUCUCAAAAAGACGUAAAAGUUUUUUUCGAAUUUUCGGCUUUAACACUGGAAGAACAUCCUUCAAAAAGAAUACCAGCUUAACCUGAAAUUGUUGCAGCAGUGGAAUCAAGGCUUCGAAAUCCAAAAAAUCCAAAACACGAUCAUAUAUAUUAGCAAAUGCUGCAGUCUUCGAAAAUGCUUCCUUCGAUGUACUAGCUUUCAAAGGUAGAUAUUGUGAACAAUACAUUAAAAUAUUAAGAAUCCGAUGCCAAUCCAAAAAAUUAAGGCGAUUUAAUAUAGAAGGUGUACGUAAAAAAAGAUACACAGUACCAAGGAUCUCAAAAUCAACAUUCUCAUUAAAUCC